GAUGAAGAACGUAGCGAAAUGCGAUAAGUAAUGUGAAUUGCAGAAUUCAGUGAAUCAUCGAAUCUUUGAACGCACAUUGCGCCCUCUGGUAUUCCGGGGGGCAUGCCUGUUCGAGCGUCAUUAUAACCACUCAAGCUUUCGCUUGGUAUUGGGGCUCGCGGUUCCGCGGCCCCUAAAAUCAGUGGAGGUGCCUGUCGGCUCUACGCGUAGUAAUACUCCUCGCGAUUGAGUCCGGUAGGUCUACUUGCCAGCAACCCCCAAUUUUUACAGGUUGACCUCGGAUCAGGUAGGGAUACCCGCUGAACUUAAGCAUAUCAAUAAGCGGAGGA
Molecule: unclassified non-coding RNA, 329 nt
Filed under: soil metagenome
Description: partial contains 5.8S ribosomal RNA, internal transcribed spacer 2, and large subunit ribosomal RNA
Rfam family: 5.8S ribosomal RNA (bases 1-120)
Source: RNAcentral